UACCAGCACCCCGAGUGGUCGGGACGAUUAUUGGGCCUAAAGCAUCCGUAGCCGGUUUUACAAGUCUUCCGUUAAAUCCACCUGCUUAACAGAUGGGCUGCGGAAGAUACUAUAGAGCUAGGAGGCGGGAGAGGCAAGCGGUACUCGAUGGGUAGGGGUAAAAUCCGUUGAUCCAUUGAAGACCACCAGUGGCGAAGGCGGCUCACUGGCCCGUAACUGACGCUGAGGUGCGAAAGCGUGGGGAGCAAACAGG
This 253-nucleotide ribosomal RNA is filed under the name uncultured bacterium. Its description in RNAcentral is "partial 16S ribosomal RNA". It matches the Rfam family "Archaeal small subunit ribosomal RNA", at positions 474 to 727 of the family's 1478-position model. The record is from RNAcentral.